Molecule: ribosomal RNA, 629 nt
Filed under: Achromobacter sp. enrichment culture clone CH2_3_8
Lineage: Bacteria; Pseudomonadati; Pseudomonadota; Betaproteobacteria; Burkholderiales; Alcaligenaceae
Description: bacterial SSU rRNA
Rfam family: Bacterial small subunit ribosomal RNA
Source: RNAcentral
AGUGGCGAACGGGUGAGUAAUGUAUCGGAACGUGCCCAGUAGCGGGGGAUAACUACGCGAAAGCGCAGCUAAUACCGCAUACGCCCUACGGGGGAAAGCAGGGGAUCGCAAGACCUUGCACUAUUGGAGCGGCCGAUAUCGGAUUAGCUAGUUGGUGGGGUAACGGCUCACCAAGGCGACGAUCCGUAGCUGGUUUGAGAGGACGACCAGCCACACUGGGACUGAGACACGGCCCAGACUCCUACGGGAGGCAGCAGUGGGGAAUUUUGGACAAUGGGGGAAACCCUGAUCCAGCCAUCCCGCGUGUGCGAUGAAGGCCUUCGGGUUGUAAAGCACUUUUGGCAGGAAAGAAACGUCAUGGGUUAAUACCCCGUGAAACUGACGGUACCUGCAGAAUAAGCACCGGCUAACUACGUGCCAGCAGCCGCGGUAAUACGUAGGGUGCAAGCGUUAAUCGGAAUUACUGGGCGUAAAGCGUGCGCAGGCGGUUCGGAAAGAAAGAUGUGAAAUCCCAGAGCUUAACUUUGGAACUGCAUUUUUAACUACCGGGCUAGAGUGUGUCAGAGGGAGGUGGAAUUCCGCGUGUAGCAGUGAAAUGCGUAGAUAUGCGGAAGAACACCGAUGGCGAA